UUAAUUCAAUUAGGACACUGGUCUGUGUUCUUAUUGAACACGGAAAUUAAAUUCAAGUAGGAAAAUUUUCUUGUAAAAAGUGCAAAAUGUUUACAGAAACACUAGGAAACCUUUCCUAACAAGAAAAAGUUUCCCUCGCCCAUAAAUAGACAAGUUCACAACACAACACAACCCACCACAUUGCUUUUAGCUACUCUGCUCUCUCUGUUUUAUCUCUGCUUCUUUAUUUGCAUUCUUCGAUCUCGCUUCAAAAACCCUCAAACUCUCUCGCUUCGUCUUCUUCGAUCUUCUGCUUCUUCGUUACGAUGACCAACAAAGCUGAUCAAUCUUCGGACACUGGGGGUUCAAAGAAGGACUUCACUACGGCAAUCCUUGACCGCAAGAAGGCUGUGAAUCGCCUUGUUGUGGAUGAAGAUAUCCAUGGCGACAACUCUGUCGUCACGCUCCACCCAGAGUCUAUGGAGAGGCUCCAGCUAUUUCGUGGGGACACAAUCUUGAUCAAGGGAAAGAAAAGGAAGGACACAGUCUGCAUUGUAGUUGCUGAUGACAAAUGUGAGGAACCAAAGAUAAGGAUGAACAAGGUUGUCAGGAGCAACCUACGGGUUAGGCUUGGAGAUGUCGUUUCUGUUUACCAAUGCGCUGAUGUCAAGUAUGGAAACCGUGUUCACGUACUCCCUGUGGAUGACAGUAUCCAAGGGGUGACUGGAAAUCUGUUUGAUACAUAUUUGAGACCUUAUUUUUUCGAGGCCUACCGACCCGUGAGGACGGGUGAUCUCUUCCUUGUGAGAGGAGGGAUGAGGAGUGUGGAGUUCAAGGUUGUCGAAACUGACCCUCCUGAGUACUGCGUGGUGGCUCCCGACACCGAAAUCUUCUGUGACGGGGAGCCUGUGAGAAGGGAGGAUGAGGAGAGGUCAUUAGAUGAGGUUGGAUAUGAUGAUGUUGGUGGAGUAAGGAAACAGAUGGCUCAAAUUCGCGAGUCGGUGGAGCUGCCGCUGAGGCAUCCUCAGCUGUUUAAGAUAAUUGGUGUGAAACCACCAAAGGGUAUUCUGUUGUAUGGACCUCCUGGAACUGGUAAGACUCUAAUUGCCCGUGCUGUGGCUAAUGAGACUGGGGCAUUCUUUUUCUGCAUCAAUGGACCAGAAAUCAUGUCGAAACUGGCUGGGGAGAGUGAAAGCAACCUCAGGAAAGCUUUUCAGGAAGCAGAGAAGAACGCACCAUCAAUCAUCUUUAUUGAUGAGAUCGAUUCAAUUGCUCCCAAGAGAGACAAGACAAAUGGAGAAGUUGAGAGGAGGAUUGUUUCCCAACUCUUGACACUCAUGGAUGGACUAAAAUCCCGUGCGCAUGUAAUUGUUAUCGGGGCUACAAAUCGUCCAAAUAGCAUUGAUCCAGCUCUCAGAAGGUUUGGAAGAUUUGAUAGGGAAAUAGAUAUUGGUGUGCCAGAUGAAGUUGGGCGUCUUGAGGUUCUGCGUAUUCAUACCAGGAACAUGAAGCUUGCUGAAGAAGUUAAUUUAGAAAAGAUAGCUAAGGACACACAUGGUUAUGUUGGUGCUGAUCUAGCUGCUUUGUGUACUGAGGCUGCACUUCAAUGCAUCAGAGAGAAGAUGGACGUGAUUGACUUAGAAGAUGAGGAAAUAGAUGCCGAGAUACUUAAUUCAAUGGCAGUUACAAACGAGCACUUGCAGACGGCUCUUGGCACGAGCAACCCAUCCGCUCUUCGUGAAACAGUUGUUGAGGUGCCGAAUGUUAGUUGGAAAGAUAUCGGAGGUCUCGAGAAUGUCAAGAGGGAACUUCAAGAGACGGUUCAAUAUCCAGUGGAGCAUCCUGAGAAAUUUGAGAAAUUUGGAAUGUCACCCUCAAAGGGAGUUCUUUUCUAUGGCCCUCCUGGAUGUGGUAAAACUCUUCUCGCCAAAGCUAUUGCCAAUGAGUGUCAAGCAAACUUCAUCAGUGUCAAGGGACCUGAAUUGCUUACAAUGUGGUUUGGAGAGAGUGAGGCCAAUGUACGUGAAAUUUUCGACAAGGCCCGUGGAUCUGCUCCAUGUGUCCUGUUCUUUGAUGAACUUGAUUCCAUUGCUACACAGAGAGGUAGCAGCGUAGGCGAUGCUGGGGGUGCUGCUGAUAGGGUACUGAACCAACUCCUUACGGAAAUGGAUGGAAUGUCUGCAAAGAAAACUGUUUUCGUCAUUGGGGCCACCAACAGACCUGACAUUAUAGACCCUGCACUUCUACGUCCAGGCCGUCUGGAUCAGUUGAUUUACAUCCCUCUCCCUGACGAAGAAUCUCGCCAUCAAAUAUUCAGGUCUUGCUUGAGGAAAUCUCCUGUUUCCAAAGAUGUGGACAUUAGAGCCCUUGCCAAGUACACCCUAGGAUUUAGUGGUGCUGAUAUAACAGAAAUAUGCCAGCGUGCGUGCAAAUAUGCCAUUAGAGAAAACAUUGAGAAGGAUAUUGUGAGGGAUAGGAGGAAAAAUGAGAACCCUGAGGCUAUGGAGGAGGAUGUUGAUGAUGAAGUAGCAGAGAUCAUGGCAGCUCAUUUCGAGGAAUCCAUGAAGUAUGCUCGUAGGAGUGUUAGUGAUGCUGAUAUCCGUAAAUACCAGACAUUUUCUCAGACAUUGCAGCAGUCAAGAGGGUUGGGAACAGAAUUCAGGUUUGCAGACAGAGCUGCUGGAUAUGACCCUUCUGCAACUGCGUCUGCUGGGGCUGAUGGAGAUGACUUAUACAGUUAGGAUCGUUUUGUUUCCUGUAUUUUUCGUGUUUGUUCCAGUUUUGCUUUAGAGAGAAAAAUCGUAGAUGAAUUUUGAGCUGGUUGACAGAAUAACAUAUGAUUUGGUUUGAUUGUGUUUUUUCUUUUUUUCUGUCUUUUCUUCUUGUAUUUGUAGCUAGAAAUACAAACGGAUUUUAUCUACUUUCUGGA
Molecule: RNA transcript, 2908 nt
Organism: Prunus persica (peach)
Lineage: Eukaryota; Viridiplantae; Streptophyta; Magnoliopsida; Rosales; Rosaceae
Gene name: cell division cycle protein 48 homolog
Exons: 1
Source: RefSeq, a predicted model, not a curated record